GAUGAACGCUGGCGGCGUGCCUAAUACAUGCAAGUCGAGCGAACGGACGAGAAGCUUGCUUCUCUGAUGUUAGCGGCGGACGGGUGAGUAACCCGUGGAUAACCUACCUAUAAGACUGGGAUAACUUCGGGAAACCGGAGCUAAUACCGGAUAAUAUUUUGAACCGCAUGGUUCAAAAGUGUAAGACGGUCUUGCUGUCACUUAUAGCUGGAUCCGCGUUGCAUUAUCUAGUUGGGAAGUUAACGGCUUACCAAGGCAACGAUGCAUAGCCGACCUGAGAGGGUGAUCAGCCACACUGGAACUGAGACACGGUCCAGACUCCUACGGGAGGCAGCAGUAGGGAAUCUUCCGCAAUGGGCGAAAGCCUGACGGAGCAACGCCGCGUGAGUGAUGAAGGUCUUCGGAUCGUAAAACUCUGUUAUUAGGGAAGAACAUAUGUGUAAGUAACUGUGCACAUCUUGACGGUACCUAAUCAGAAAGCCACGGCUAACUACGUG
Molecule: ribosomal RNA, 497 nt
Filed under: uncultured bacterium
Lineage: Bacteria
Description: partial 16S ribosomal RNA
Rfam family: Bacterial small subunit ribosomal RNA
Source: RNAcentral